UAAGGUCUCGCCUGCCCACUGAAAAUUUAAAUGGCCGCGGUAAUUUGACCGUGCUAAGGNAGCAUAAUCAUUAGUUUUUUAAUUGAAAGCUUGUAUGAAUGGUUGGAUGAGAAAAUAGCUGUCUCUUUAAAAUUUAUAUUGAAUUUUAUUUUUAAGUAAAAAAGCUUAAAUUUAUUUAAAAGACGAGAAGACCCUAUAGAGUUUNAUAGUUUUUAAUUUUUGACGUUUUAGAAUUUUAAAUUUAAAGAUUAAAUUUUAUUUGAUUGGGGUGAUUGAAAAAUUUGUUAAACUUUUUUAUAAUUUUUACAUAAAUUAAUGAUUGAUUGAUCCAUAAAAAUGAUUAAAAGAUUAAAUUACCUUAGGGAUACCAGCGUAAUUUUUUUUAAGAGUUCUAAUCGAAAAAGAAGAUUGCGACCUCGAUGUUGGAUUAAAGUUAAUUUNUGGUGUAGAAGCUAAGUA
RNAcentral lists this ribosomal RNA (459 nucleotides) under Acalolepta degener. RNAcentral's name for it is "partial 16S rRNA". It matches the Rfam family "Bacterial large subunit ribosomal RNA", at positions 1846 to 2568 of the family's 2925-position model. Lineage: Eukaryota; Metazoa; Arthropoda; Insecta; Coleoptera; Cerambycidae. The record is from RNAcentral.